Molecule: ribosomal RNA, 501 nt
Filed under: uncultured bacterium
Lineage: Bacteria
Description: bacterial SSU rRNA
Rfam family: Bacterial small subunit ribosomal RNA
Source: RNAcentral
AUUGAACGCUGGCGGAAUGCUUUACACAUGCAAGUCGAACGGUAGAGGGGGCAACCCCUUGAGAGUGGCGAACGGGUGAGUAAUAUAUCGGAACGUGCCCAGUCGUGGGGAUAACGUAGCGAAAGUUACGCUAAUACCGCAUACGAUCUACGGAUGAAAGCGGGGGACUCGCAAGAGCCUCGCGCGAUUGGAGCGGCCGAUAUCAGAUUAGGUAGUUGGUGGGGUAAAGGCUCACCAAGCCAACGAUCUGUAGCUGGUCUGAGAGGACGACCAGCCACACUGGAACUGAGACACGGUCCAGACUCCUACGGGAGGCAGCAGUGGGGAAUUUGGGACAAUGGACGCAAGUCUGAUCCAGCCAUUCCGCGUGCAGGAUGAAGGCCCUCGGGUUGUAAACUGCUUUUGUACGGAACGAAAAGGUUUCUAUUAAUACUAGGAGCUCAUGACGGUACCGUAAGAAUAAGCACCGGCUAACUACGUGCCAGCAGCCGCGGUAAUGUG